UAUGCAGCUUGAUGAAUGGUGGGAACAACCGGCAUCAACUGUCGUUGAUUGGAUUAGUGUUGAUGGGCAAAAUGUUGCUGCUUGGCAUAAUCAUGUAAAACAGCUUCUUGCAUUUUAUGAUAAAGAGCUUCUGUGAAUAAAAGCUUUUGAAAACUCAGAUCAUUGAGAUACAUACAGAUGGGAGGACACAUGGCAUCAACUGAGGAUACAUGUUACAAUUUGGUUUUGGUAAAGAAGGACCGAUUAAGAAAUCAGGUAAGAAAUCUGUUUAUAUGACAGCAUUAUGACUUUAUGAUUGAGGCCUGUGCAGCCACACCUUUUUUUUCUUCCCCUCUUUGUUGAUUUUGUAUAGAUGGAUCCAUUCUUUGUAGAAUCUUUUUGUAUAAUAGGUGAUUGAUUAGUUGCAAGAUUAUUAUGUAAUGUGAAGCUUGAUUCGUGCCAUUAAAGAGGCACUGUGAUUUUAACUGUAGAGAGAUUUGUGUUUGUACCUUGUUCCUAUUCUGUGU
Non-coding RNA from Camellia sinensis, 506 nucleotides. The record is from RefSeq and is a predicted model, not a curated record. NCBI's taxonomy places the organism in Eukaryota, Viridiplantae, Streptophyta, Magnoliopsida, Ericales, Theaceae.